UAGGGAAUCUUCGGCAAUGGACGAAAGUCUGACCGAGCAACGCCGCGUGAGUGAAGAAGGUUUUCGGAUCGUAAAACUCUGUUGUUAGAGAAGAACAAGGACGUUAGUAACUGAACGUCCCCUGACGGUAUCUAACCAGAAAGCCACGGCUAACUACGUGCCAGCAGCCGCGGUAAUACGUAGGUGGCAAGCGUUGUCCGGAUUUAUUGGGCGUAAAGCGAGCGCAGGCGGUUUCUUAAGUCUGAUGUGAAAGCCCCCGGCUCUACCGGGGAGGGUCAGUGGAAACUGGGAGACUUGAGUGCAGAAGAGGAGAGUGGAAUUCCAUGUGUAGCGGUGAAAUGCGUAGAUAUAUGGAGGAACACCAGUGGCGAAGGCGGCUCUCUGGUCUGUAACUGACGCUGAGGCUCGAAAGCGUGGGGAGCAAACAGG
This 429-nucleotide ribosomal RNA is filed under the name Gemmatimonadota bacterium. RNAcentral describes it as "Gemmatimonadetes bacterium partial 16S ribosomal RNA". It matches the Rfam family "Bacterial small subunit ribosomal RNA", at positions 355 to 776 of the family's 1533-position model. The record is from RNAcentral. Lineage: Bacteria; Pseudomonadati; Gemmatimonadota.